GAUCGAACGGCGUGGCGGCGUGCUUAACACAUGCAAGUCGAGGCGAAGCAAAGUCUAAGUGAAGUUUUCGGAUGGAUCUUAGAUUGACUGAGCGGCGGACGGGUGAGUAACGCGUGGGUAACCUGCCUCAUACAGGGGGAUAACAGUUAGAAAUGACUGCUAAUACCGCAUAAGACCACAGGGUCGCAUGACCCGGUGGUAAAAACUCCGGUGGUAUGAGAUGGACCCGCGUCUGAUUAGCUAGUUGGUGGGGUAACGGCUCACCAAGGCGACGAUCAGUAGCCGACCUGAGAGGGUGACCGGCCACAUUGGGACUGAGACACGGCCCAA
This 330-nucleotide ribosomal RNA is filed under the name uncultured bacterium. Its description in RNAcentral is "bacterial SSU rRNA". It matches the Rfam family "Bacterial small subunit ribosomal RNA", at positions 37 to 334 of the family's 1533-position model. The record is from RNAcentral.